This 349-nucleotide transfer-messenger RNA is filed under the name Fenollaria timonensis. RNAcentral describes it as "Standard tmRNA". It matches the Rfam family "transfer-messenger RNA". Rfam says of the family: Bacterial tmRNA, also known as 10Sa RNA or SsrA, is named for its dual tRNA and mRNA-like properties. Its role is to liberate the mRNA from a stalled ribosome. The record is from RNAcentral. Lineage: Bacteria; Bacillati; Bacillota; Clostridia; Eubacteriales.
GGGGAUGAAUUUUGGUUUCGACGGGGAUUUGGAAUUUAGAAUAGCGAGCCGGGUCGAUGGAUACGUCACAUCUGUCAAAAAAUAUAAACGCAGAAAACAAUAAUUUUGCAUACGCUGCCUAGUUAGGCGGCUCUCAAUAUAGAGUUUUCUCGUUCGGCUUUAUAUUGGGUCAACUUAGACGAGAAAAUCUUUUAGCCAAGCUUAAAAGCUAAAAGAUUAUUUCAAAGCUAGCUAAGACUUUAUUUUGCUUUUUAAAUUGGUCUUAGUGAAGUUUGAUAAAAAGCUGCGCUCGGAGAAGUUCUUUAGGAAGGGUUUUCGGACAGGGGUUCGACUCCCCUCAUCUCCACCA